GAUGAACGCUGGCGGCGUGCCUAAUACAUGCAAGUCGAGCGAACAGACGAGGAGCUUGCUCCUCUGACGUUAGCGGCGGACAGGUGAGUAACACGUGGAUAACCUACCUAUAAGACUGGGAUAACUUCGGGAAACCGGAGCUAAUACCGGAUAAUAUAUUGAACCGCAUGGUUCAAUAGUGAAAGACGGUUUUGCUGUCACUUAUAGAUGGAUCCGCGCCGCAUUAGCUAGUUGGUAAGGUAACGGCUUACCAAGGCAACGAUGCGUAGCCGACCUGAGAGGGUGAGCGGCCACACUGGAACUGAGACACGGUCCAGACUCCUACGGGAGGCAGCAGUAGGGAAGCUUCCGCAAUGGGCGAAAGCCUGACGGAGCAACGCCGCGUGAGUGAUGAAGGUCUUCGGAUCGUAAAACUCUGUUAUUAGGGAGGAACAAAUGUGUAAGUAACUAUGCACGUCUUGACGGUACCUAAUCAGAAAGCCACGGCUAACUACGUG
Molecule: ribosomal RNA, 497 nt
Filed under: uncultured bacterium
Lineage: Bacteria
Description: partial 16S ribosomal RNA
Rfam family: Bacterial small subunit ribosomal RNA
Source: RNAcentral